ACUUGGGCUUGGAGCAUCAGGGUCCGUCAUGAUGAGAGUAUAAGAAGUCCUCAAGUCCUCGCCACCAAUCUCGACUCUAGGUCUAGCUGCAAUGACUGAAGGCAUGAACUCAUAGCCAUUAGCAACUUGCUUGUUGGAAUUAUAAGUGACAACCAUUCUCACGCUCGGGGUGAAUAUGUCCACCACAUCGCCUACAACUCUCCCUACAGCAAGUGGCUCCAUGAUCCUUG
This 230-nucleotide unclassified non-coding RNA is filed under the name Hevea brasiliensis (rubber tree). The record is from RNAcentral. Lineage: Eukaryota; Viridiplantae; Streptophyta; Magnoliopsida; Malpighiales; Euphorbiaceae.